UGUACAAGUUCCCCUGAGGGAAAGUUGCAAAGAACUUUGGAGAGAGAGUUAAAAAGGGCGUGAAACCACUUAGAAGGAAACAGACGGAGCUGAAAAGUCGCUUGUCAGAUUCAAUUUGCCAGGGCCUGCCGCAUAUCGCAGGUCUAGGUGAAUGCAUUUCUGGCGAGUGCGCGCUGCGACCGAUUUCUGCGCUGGCUAAGGUCUGUCGAUUGCCGGCUGGGCCUUCGGGUCCAGUGUCCCGUCGAUAGUUCCGGACCGAGUCGUGGAGAUCGUAGAUCUGCCGUACUAGUUCUCGGAUUGGACUUUUGAUGCGCUGGCCAAAACUCCGGGUCCUGCUUGCAGAGCUCGGUAAAUUCCAGUGCUACCUUCUGUCUUAUGCCGAAUAGUACGAAUGGUCUGCGGCGUCUGUGUCAGCCCCCCGUCUGACCCGUCUUGAAACACGGACCAAGGAGUCUAACAUGUGCGCAAGUCAUUGGGUGGUAAACCCAAAGGCGCAAUGAAAGUAAAGGCCAGUUCGGCUGGCUUAGGUGAGAUCCUUGGGCUUCGGCCCGAGGCGCAUCACCGCCCCGUCCUAUGAGUAAUGUCUCAAGGGCGGAGGAAGAGCGUAUAUGUUGGGACCCGAAAGAUGGUGAACUAUGCUUGAGCAGGACGAAGCCAGAGGAAACUCUGGUGGAGGUCCGUAGCGGUUCUGACGUGCAAAUCGAUCGUCAGACUUGAGUAUAGGGGCGAAAGACUAAUCGAACCAUCUAGUAGCUGGUUCCUUCCGAAA
RNAcentral lists this ribosomal RNA (769 nucleotides) under Enoplus taipingensis. RNAcentral's name for it is "partial large subunit ribosomal RNA". It matches the Rfam family "Eukaryotic large subunit ribosomal RNA", at positions 341 to 966 of the family's 3401-position model. Lineage: Eukaryota; Metazoa; Nematoda; Enoplea; Enoplida; Enoplidae. The record is from RNAcentral.